This 200-nucleotide ribosomal RNA is filed under the name uncultured bacterium. RNAcentral describes it as "partial 16S ribosomal RNA". It matches the Rfam family "Bacterial small subunit ribosomal RNA", at positions 524 to 723 of the family's 1533-position model. The record is from RNAcentral.
UACGAAGGGUGCAAGCGUUAAUCGGAAUUACUGGGCGUAAAGCGCGCGUAGGUGGUUCAGUAAGUUGAAUGUGAAAGCCCCGGGCUCAACCUGGGAACUGCAUCCAAAACUGCUGAGCUAGAGUAUGGUAGAGGGUAGUGGAAUUUCCUGUGUAGCGGUGAAAUGCGUAGAUAUAGGAAGGAACACCAGUGGCGAAGGCG